AGAUGUACAUAUACAGGCAGUAUGAACAGCAGAGAAGGGAAGUAAAGGCAUCUCAUGCAGAGGAAAGAGCACCAGGCAAGUCAUGAAGGCCCCAAGUGCAUAACUUAUUUGAGGAAACGUGAAUUGCUUCAUGUCAUCGCAGCAUAAGGUCAUGAGAAAUAAGUGACAGGAGGUAAAAAUAUAACGGUGGUAAGGGAUGGAUUGUCAUUGAAGGCUUUUUCAGGAGGUUAAGUAUGGUCAGAUCUGGGUUUUAGAAAAUAAACUGUACUUGAAGGGGAAAGGGACGAAAAGGAUGGAGACCAGUUAUAAGGAUAUCUAGUGGUCUGAGAGAUUGGGGUAAUGGUGGCUAAUUUAGGUCAUUAGCAAUGACAAUGAAAAGGAGGAAAUAAAUAAAAGGAACCUUGCAGGGUUAAGUCCAUUUGGGGAUGAGAGAGACAGUAGGUAGAAAGAGAUACUAAAAGUGAUGACAUUAACCAACGUAGAGAGUAUGUGAGUUGGGAGGAGGGCAGGGGAAAAAAAGUUACUUUCCAUUUUUAAUGUCUUUGUGUUGUUGAUGCUUAUCUGACAUUCAAAUGAAGAUAAAAGUAUUCAGAUCUAGGAUUUAGGGCAGAAGUGAUGCCUGGAGAUAGACAUUUGAAACUCAUCUAUAAGCAAGUGAUGACUGAAGUUGUAGGGUUAGAUAAAUUACUCUGCAAUAAAGCAUAAAACAAAAUAAGAUGAAGGUUACAAGUGAUACUUUCUGAUUAGUGUGACACUUGAAAUGGAUCUGUUUCUUUUUUUUGCCAAGAAACGUGCUAUUUGGAGUUGCCUUCUCCAUUUCCUGACAGGAAUUGAGUCUGAUUACCUACAUCCUAUAUCUCAUUAAUUAUUAUUUUUUCAUUUUUUUCCAAUUUACAAAGAAGAUUUGUACUCGCUGUCCCACCUAUUAUUGUUCCAUUAUUACCCUCUCUUGCCUUCUGGAAAUGCCAUAUUGUGUGAUCAAUACCUCUCGAUGUUUUUUCAGUCUUGAAUUAAUGCAAUCAGGUUUCUAUACUCAGUCAAUGCUGAUGAUAAUGAUGAUGAUGAUAAUGAUCUUCUUGAUGAUGAUGGUCUGCCAGACACUGCCCAGAACUAAACAUUAUUUCAACUAAUACUCCAUACCCCUAUCAGGUAUUUAGUGUUAACAUUCCUACACUACGUAUGAGGAAACUAGGGUUUAGAAAGUUUAAGAUUCUGCCACAAGUGAAACCUGGGCAGUGAUGGAUACAGG
RNAcentral lists this long non-coding RNA (1249 nucleotides) under Vulpes vulpes (red fox). Its description in RNAcentral is "lncRNA (ENSVVUG00000015502.1)". Lineage: Eukaryota; Metazoa; Chordata; Mammalia; Carnivora; Canidae. The record is from RNAcentral.